UACGUAGGGUGCAAGCGUUGUCCGGAUUUAUUGGGCGUAAAGAGCUCGUAGGCGGUUUGUCACGUCGGAUGUGAAAACUUGGGGCUUAACCCUAAGCCUGCAUUCGAUACGGGCAGACUAGAGGAUGGCAGGGGAGACUGGAACUCCUGGUGUAGCGGUGGAAUGCGCAGAUAUCAGGAAGAACACCGGUGGCGAAGGCGGGUCUCUGGGCCAUUACUGACGCUGAGGAGCGAAAGCGUGGGGAGCAAACAGGAUUAGAAACCCCAGUAGUCC
RNAcentral lists this ribosomal RNA (273 nucleotides) under uncultured Actinomyces sp. Its description in RNAcentral is "partial 16S ribosomal RNA". It matches the Rfam family "Bacterial small subunit ribosomal RNA", at positions 524 to 796 of the family's 1533-position model. The record is from RNAcentral. Lineage: Bacteria; Bacillati; Actinomycetota; Actinomycetes; Actinomycetales; Actinomycetaceae.